This 334-nucleotide unclassified non-coding RNA is filed under the name Hevea brasiliensis (rubber tree). Lineage: Eukaryota; Viridiplantae; Streptophyta; Magnoliopsida; Malpighiales; Euphorbiaceae. The record is from RNAcentral.
AAAAGAUGUUUGUCUAGUUGUUGGGGAUUUUAACUCGGUUCUUAGAGAAUCUGAGAAGGGGGGGGGGAGACAGAAUUCAUGAUAAUAGAGUUGUUUGCUUCAGAAAUUUUAUGGAUGAUUUUGGGUUAAUAGACAUGGGUUUUUAUGGUCCAAUGUUUACAUGGAACAAUCGUAGAAAUGGUCAUAGCAACAUCCAAGAAAGAUUGGACAGGUCUCUCUCUUAUCAAUGGCUGGUCUGGUAUCCAAAUGCUCGGGUUGAUCACUUAGAGGACAGAGGAUCGGACCAUAGGCCCAUCCUAGUCUUAAUUUCUCCUCAGAUGACACUGAUACACCU